Molecule: ribosomal RNA, 315 nt
Filed under: uncultured eukaryote
Lineage: Eukaryota
Description: partial 18S ribosomal RNA
Rfam family: Eukaryotic small subunit ribosomal RNA
Source: RNAcentral
CCCUUAGAUGUCCUGGGCCGCACGCGUGCUACACUGACACUUACACCGAGUUUUUCCGGCCCCGAGUGGUGGCUGGUAAUCAGUAAUAGGUGUCGUGAUGGGGAUAGAUCUUUGGAAUUAUUGAUCUUGAACGAGGAAUGCCUAGUAAUCGUAGGUCAUCAGCCUGCGAUGAUUACGUCCCUGCCCUUUGUACACACCGCCCGUCGCUCCUACCGAUUUCGAGUGGUCCGGUGAACCUUUCGGACAGAGAGAGUCUCGUACAAUCUCUGAAAGUCAAGUAAACCACAUCACUUAGAGGAAGGAGAAGUCGUAACA